CAUUCCCUACGGGGCGCAGCAGUGGGGAAUAUUGCACAAUGGGGGAAACCCUGAUGCAGCGACGCCGCGUGAGUGAAGAAGUAUUUCGGUAUGUAAAGCUCUAUCAGCAGGGAAGAUAAUGACGGUACCUGACUAAGAAGCUCCGGCUAAAUACGUGCCAGCAGCCGCGGUAAUACGUAGGGGGCAAGCGUUAUCCGGAUUUACUGGGUGUAAAGGGAGCAUAGACGGCCAGACAAGUCUGAAGUGAAAAUCCAGCGCUUAACGUUGGAAGUGCUUUGGAAACUGCCGGGCUAGAGUGCAGGAGG
Molecule: ribosomal RNA, 305 nt
Filed under: uncultured bacterium
Lineage: Bacteria
Description: bacterial SSU rRNA
Rfam family: Bacterial small subunit ribosomal RNA
Source: RNAcentral